Molecule: long non-coding RNA, 1849 nt
Organism: Bombus pascuorum
Lineage: Eukaryota; Metazoa; Arthropoda; Insecta; Hymenoptera; Apidae
Exons: 3
Source: RefSeq, a predicted model, not a curated record
CAUGUUGAUUUAUAUAAUAUACGUACGUAAUUAGUACGAUAUUAAAGGUGGUAUUACGAUCUUAGCAGCAAAUGCACGAAGUUCCUCCAAUUAUUCGAAUUAUUAUUUCCACUUCGCUUCGCGCCGCUCUUUAAUAUAUCAUUAAUAAAUAUUUUUAAUUCUGCAACGCAAUUCCAUAAUGAUCGUUAAUAACGUGUAUAUUAGGUGAUAUAUUCUCGCGUAAUGUAAUAAACAAUUGAUCGAUGAUUCAGGUGCUAUCGAUUACAUGAAGGAGAAAAACGAUACGCAAGGUACCAAACAAGACGCGGUUCACCCUGUUUUUAACGCGAUACGCAUCAAUUGAGCUGAGGCCGUGGCAAUUAACGCGCUUCUCAUCGCCUAUCAAGGAGCCAACCUCGAGAAAAACGCACUUGAACCAAUUUGCGACGUGGGAAAACGCGACAGGGUGCAUUUCCCAUCGAUUCGAUCGAUAAAUUCUAAAGUAUCAUCAAGGGAUAAUAAUAAUUAACAGCAUUGGUACCAACCGAUGGUUUUCUAAAUUCACUUCCAAUUUCUUUCUUAUACGACUUCGUAAAUUAAUUUAUUUAGUUUGGUUUUUCAGACGAGCGAAAGCAAUCUGUCUGCGAGGAUCAGCUCUUCCUCUCUUUCCUUCGAAAUAAAUAGCAGAUAAGCCAGAACACAGAGUAAAAUGAGCGAAAGAGUACAUUUAUUCCUUGCUUCUUACUUUAUUUACAUCUAUCUAUUUACUCGUAACAGAAGUAGUACGAAAGUAAUAUGACUCACGUAGAAUUAUUCUUUUACUCUAUUCUUGAAACUGUCAAUUAUUUCUUCUGUAUGUUUUUUGAAACGGCAAAUACAGUAAAUUGAAAACAAAGGUUAACAGGAAGGUUUGUUAUAUCCAUCUGAUAUCCCGAAACGAGUCAAUAAAGGAAGCGAGUGUGGAAUGAUGACACUGAAAGGUUGAAGAAGAAAUUUCUAAACGUAAAAUAAGAUAAACUAACAAUGCUAAUAUGGAAUAUAGUCGACAGGGAAGAGAGAACUUUGUACUUGUUCGUUUACAUCAGUUUACAGAAUUGAUUUUCCCUGUCAUAAAAUAAAAAAUAUAAUCAAGGACAACGAAGUGCUUCGAACGUAUUGUACGUGUGGCACAAACGCGUCCUCUGACAUCGCGCAUACUUCUGUUUUGUUAGAAAAGCUUCCUUGACCCGUGACAUCAAUUUUUAUCUUCGCGCACGCGGAAAAAAUCAUCGACGUUUAAUUGCGAAAAGAAAAAAAGGAAGAGAAGAAAAAAUAUUGAAGAUUUCGUUGGCAAUAAGAAGAAAAGGAUUACGGUCCAAUUAAAACACGAUCUUUCCUCGUAAACAAGCAACUUCAUAUUUCACCGUUCGUAGAUAAAAGAGUCGCGCAUUGAAUUAUCGAUACAACGUACUCAAUUAUUUUUAUCGAUAAUAGUUCGCCUGUUAUUGACACUGGUCACAUGUUUUGCUAACUUGUUGUUUGAACUGUUGACUUAUCGAUAUUUUUUUUUCUUUGUUAUCAUGAAUUUAUCGAUUUUGAUAGCCUUGGAAUUAAUUAGACUUUACUUUUUAGUUGGCGUAGUGUCGUCGUUAACGAUAGAUAAUUGACAAAACGGCACGCGAAUGGGUCGAGGCCUCUCCGCAAAAACCAGUUGGUCUGGAAACGAGUUCGUGAGAAUCGGAGAACAGUUAUGCACGACCGAUCUGAGGAAAAAUCGUAAAACGUCAACACCACUCGCUAUGCGUUCAAGAGGCACCAUUAUAGUAUCGCGUUUCAGGAAAAGAUUCUUCUGGAUUAAAAAUAGAUGUAAUAAAAAAUAAUGGAAAACGCA